Molecule: transfer RNA, 69 nt
Filed under: Sundamys maxi
Lineage: Eukaryota; Metazoa; Chordata; Mammalia; Rodentia; Muridae
Description: tRNA-Ser
Rfam family: tRNA
About the family: Transfer RNA (tRNA) molecules are approximately 80 nucleotides in length. Their secondary structure includes four short double-helical elements and three loops (D, anti-codon, and T loops). Further hydrogen bonds mediate the characteristic L-shaped molecular structure. tRNAs have two regions of fundamental functional importance: the anti-codon, which is responsible for specific mRNA codon recognition, and the 3' end, to which the tRNAs corresponding amino acid is attached (by aminoacyl-tRNA synthetases). tRNAs cope with the degeneracy of the genetic code in two manners: having more than one tRNA (with a specific anti-codon) for a particular amino acid; and 'wobble' base-pairing, i.e. permitting non-standard base-pairing at the 3rd anti-codon position.
Source: RNAcentral
GAGAAAGACAUAGUGGCUAUGAAAUUGGCUUGAAACCAGUUGUUGGGGGUUCGAAUCCUUCCUUUCUUA